GGACCCGUAGCUCAGCUGGAUAGAGUACUUGACUACGAAUCAAGGGGCCGGGAGUUCGAAUCUCUCCGGGUCCGCCA
Molecule: transfer RNA, 77 nt
Filed under: Rhodospirillales bacterium
Lineage: Bacteria; Pseudomonadati; Pseudomonadota; Alphaproteobacteria; Rhodospirillales
Description: tRNA-Arg
Rfam family: tRNA
About the family: Transfer RNA (tRNA) molecules are approximately 80 nucleotides in length. Their secondary structure includes four short double-helical elements and three loops (D, anti-codon, and T loops).
Source: RNAcentral